Ornithodoros turicata is the source of this 178-nucleotide long non-coding RNA. RefSeq lists it as uncharacterized. The transcript is spliced from 3 exons. Lineage: Eukaryota; Metazoa; Arthropoda; Arachnida; Ixodida; Argasidae. The record is from RefSeq and is a predicted model, not a curated record.
UUGCGUCCAAACUAGCACAGCAGCCUCAGUUUCUAGUACGCAUACUGCAACACCAUCCCCGCACAGUGAUCCUCACGACCUCAGUCCAUUGGCAGUACCUCUAGAGCCAUCGGACACAGUUCUCAGCACACACCAGCCUGAAGGUUCUGUUUCUGCUGCUGAGAGGCCGGGGCGUCCC